GUCAACGACCAUAUCAUGCUGAGUCAAAACACCAGUUCUCGUCCGAUCACUGAAGUUAAGCAGCAUUGAGCGUGGUUAGUACUUGGAUGGGUGACCGCUUGGGAACACCACGUGUUGUUGGCA
RNAcentral lists this ribosomal RNA (123 nucleotides) under Cotesia glomerata. The record is from RNAcentral. RNAcentral also lists the same sequence under 1 other name. Lineage: Eukaryota; Metazoa; Arthropoda; Insecta; Hymenoptera; Braconidae.